GGCGUGCUUACAAUGCAAGUCGAACGAUGAAGCUGGAGCUUGCUCUGGUGGAUUAGUGGCGAACGGGUGAGUAACACGUGAGUAACCUGCCCUUGACUCUGGAAUAAGCGUUGGAAACGACGUCUAAUACCGGAUACGAGCUUCCGCCGCAUGGUGAGGAGCUGGAAAGAAUUUCGGUCAAGGAUGGACUCGCGGCCUAUCAGGUAGUUGGUGAGGUAAUGGCUCACCAAGCCUACGACGGGUAGCCGGCCUGAGAGGGUGACCGGCCACACUGGAACUGAGACACGGUCCAGACUCCUACGGGAGGCAGCAGUGGGGAAUAUUGCACAAUGGGCGCAAGCCUGAUGCAGCAACGCCGCGUGAGGGACGACGGCCUUCGGGUUGUAAACCUCUUUUAGUAGGGAAGAAGCGAAAGUGACGGUACCUGCACAAAAAGCACCGGCUAACUACGUGCCAGCAGCCGCGGUAAUACGUAGGGUGCAAGCGUUAUCCGGAAUUAUUGGGCGUAAAGAGCUCGUA
RNAcentral lists this ribosomal RNA (519 nucleotides) under Salinibacterium amurskyense. RNAcentral's name for it is "bacterial SSU rRNA". It matches the Rfam family "Bacterial small subunit ribosomal RNA", at positions 41 to 573 of the family's 1533-position model. Lineage: Bacteria; Bacillati; Actinomycetota; Actinomycetes; Micrococcales; Microbacteriaceae. The record is from RNAcentral.